Molecule: ribosomal RNA, 650 nt
Filed under: Achromobacter sp. RED-4
Lineage: Bacteria; Pseudomonadati; Pseudomonadota; Betaproteobacteria; Burkholderiales; Alcaligenaceae
Description: bacterial SSU rRNA
Rfam family: Bacterial small subunit ribosomal RNA
Source: RNAcentral
AGACUCCUACGGGAGGCAGCAGUGGGGAAUUUUGGACAAUGGGGGAAACCCUGAUCCAGCCAUCCCGCGUGUGCGAUGAAGGCCUUCGGGUUGUAAAGCACUUUUGGCAGGAAAGAAACGUCGCGGGUUAAUACCCCGCGGAACUGACGGUACCUGCAGAAUAAGCACCGGCUAACUACGUGCCAGCAGCCGCGGUAAUACGUAGGGUGCAAGCGUUAAUCGGAAUUACUGGGCGUAAAGCGUGCGCAGGCGGUUCGGAAAGAAAGAUGUGAAAUCCCAGAGCUUAACUUUGGAACUGCAUUUUUAACUACCGGGCUAGAGUGUGUCAGAGGGAGGUGGAAUUCCGCGUGUAGCAGUGAAAUGCGUAGAUAUGCGGAGGAACACCGAUGGCGAAGGCAGCCUCCUGGGAUAACACUGACGCUCAUGCACGAAAGCGUGGGGAGCAAACAGGAUUAGAUACCCUGGUAGUCCACGCCCUAAACGAUGUCAACUAGCUGUUGGGGUCUUCGGACCUUGGUAGCGCAGCUAACGCGUGAAGUUGACCGCCUGGGGAGUACGGUCGCAAGAUUAAAACUCAAAGGAAUUGACGGGGACCCGCACAAGCGGUGGAUGAUGUGGAUUAAUUCGAUGCAACGCGAAAAACCUUACCU